This 1149-nucleotide long non-coding RNA is filed under the name Setaria viridis. RNAcentral's name for it is "long non-coding RNA (SVIR_LNC004181)". The record is from RNAcentral. Lineage: Eukaryota; Viridiplantae; Streptophyta; Magnoliopsida; Poales; Poaceae.
GGUUACCCAAGACAUCGCCGCAGCCACCUGUCUAGUUUCACGUUCGGUGUCAGGAUUACACUUAACAUCAGACGUUUUGAAUCACAUGGUGCAUUUUGCUCUACUCUUCAGUGGCACAAUAGAAACACCAACUUUCUUCGGAGCCACAAAAGGAAAGGAAAGAUCCUCCAUAUAUCCGAGCUAGCGGUAUCAGUUCCAAGCGUACAUAUAGCUAGCUUGUUAGAAUCAUGCACGUAUGACACUUUAUUUGGCUCUGGCUCUAGCGUAUAUAUUACUAUAUAUGGUGCAGGUUCGAUCACGCAAAGAGAUAUGAUGAUCCAGUGCUGGUCUGGGAUUAAAGCCUCUGAGGCUGAUCAUUCGGGACAGUAGGUGGUGAAUGUGGGCAGAUCAACAGCUGGGGCCCCCGGACGGUCAAUGGUCCUGUUCGAAACGGCAAACCCUUUGUAAAAUAUUGGCAGUCUCUAUGCAAAUUUUAGCACUGAUGGUUCCUAGAGAACCGACCCCAGACAUCAAAUAUACAAGCUAUGACAUUCUGUGUAAUACAAUCCCCGUUCCAAAUUAUAAGUUGUUUUGACUUUUCUAAUAAAUUUAUAGAUAUUAUUAUGCAUCUAGAUAUACUGUAUAUAUUGUAUGUCUAGAUGCAUAAUAAUACUAUAAACCUAGUAUGUCUAGAUGCAUAAUAAUAUCUAUGAAUUUAUUAGAAAAGUCAACACGACCUGUAAUUUGGAAUGGAGAGAGUAAUAUACAUUAUAUUAACCAUUUUUGGAAUGCUAUAAUGUGCACAUCGUUGUUACAUUUAUUAUUGACUUCUUUUUAGUGCUUAGUAUUCUCAUUUGCUUGCUGUUAAGCUUAUGUUUAAUUAUCGGACAAGUAAAAAGUUAUAUCUGAAACCUAAAGCUGAAUUUAACAACCAAACGUUUGUAGACUAACAUUUAGGAGAAAUAAUAUAUAUAAUCCAUUUCUAUUCUGAAAAUUGGUCACAAAUUUUCUCCAUAAUAAACAAAUUAAUCAACUCUAAAGUUUGAUAUUAUUCACAAAGGAAUAAUGUCCCGGCCGGCAUUAUUGGUUGGAUCUACAUAUUUUUUUAAUAUUUAAUUUUUUUUUCAAAUCACAUGGUACAGACGCAAACGCUCAUAUACACGUACGCAC